Carassius gibelio (silver crucian carp) is the source of this 1106-nucleotide long non-coding RNA. RefSeq lists it as uncharacterized. Lineage: Eukaryota; Metazoa; Chordata; Actinopteri; Cypriniformes; Cyprinidae. The transcript is spliced from 3 exons. The record is from RefSeq and is a predicted model, not a curated record.
CCCAUUCUCACUCCAAAGGCGUCAAAAACCGAAGCAUGGUCAAGCGCCCCUAGCGUCACUUUUAUGACGCCAAAUGUGCCUCUCGGCGUCGACUAUCGAAGCACUACGACCUUCAUUGCUUUCAGUGGGAAACUUUUGGCGUCAGAAUUCGACACGAGGACAUGAGAUGUUUAUCGCUAUGAAAUCACGUUCAAGAAGUCUCAUUCAGCACACAUCGCGCGAUACUUGCUAUCAGUUCCACAGUUUGGCUGAAAAGACGUAAAGGCAGUCAGCCCAGUGGUGUUUCUGGAGAGGGAUUCCUUCAGAAAUGGAGAAGACAGAAAGCUGCGGAGGCAGAUAUUUGCAGCAGAUUGUUUGAGGAUAACACUGCAGUUCUCCAUCAUGCACAAGGACUCACCUCGUUAACUCUUUAUCCCCCACACACACAGAUAUGGUCCCUGGAUCAGUGAUUAGACUUUGCAGUGGUUUGAUUUUUGCAGAAGAUGUAACUUUGUUUUAUUUAUAAGCUCAUAAUGAAUACAUUACAGAACCAGUGAUGAAAACAAUAGUUAAAAAUAGUAUUUUUCGUAUUGAUAAAGCAUUUUGUUCUCUUUUUCAAGCUUCAUACAGUGAACUUUUUAGACUUUAAUUAAGAGUUUUAGUAAAGGAGAUAUUCAUACACAGUCAUCCCCUAGCUCCAGUCAUGAAGUGAAUUCAUGAUGUUAUUGUCAAAGCUAGCAGGUGUUUGUUUUCCUGAACACUUUCUCUGUCUUCCAUUGUUCAGACAAUCAGUGUUUAUUUGAUGCUGUGCUGAUUGAGUUUUAUAGAUGAUAUUGCACACUUGACAUGCAUGUCUUCAUGGUGUUUUUUUGUGAGUUUGAAACAUUUACAUUGUGUUGUAUAACAUUUUGGUCAAUUUAAUUUUUUUAAUAAAAUUGAUCUUUUUCCAGUGUUCUCUGAAAGACAUACUGUAUUUACUGUUUUGUUUUUUAAUAAAAGCAUUUUCAUUUGCAUACUGAAAAUAGUUAAUGUUUACAACAUAACUGCCUUUUUAUUCUUUAUGGUGGCAAAAACGAGCUUGGUGACAGAGGAUGCAGUGUAGUAAUUUGGGCAUGUUGACUUUAAAU